AAUAAACGUUGGCGGUGCGCCUUAUGCAUGCAAGUCGAACGGGGUUAUGGUUUUCGGAUUGUAACCUAGUGGCAGACGGCUGAGUAAUACGUAAGUAACCCGCCUUGGAGUGGGAAAUAACCUGCCGAAAGGCGAGCUAAUAUCCCAUGUGGUAAUGAAGCGUAAGCUUCGUUAUUAAAGCUUUCGGGCGCUCCAAGAAGGGCUUGCGUCUGAUUAGCUAGUUGGUAGGGUAAUGGCUUACCAAGGCGAUGAUCAGUAGCUGGUCUGAGAGGAUGGUCAGCCAGAUGGGGACUGAGACACGGCCCCAACUCCUACGGGAGGCUG
RNAcentral lists this ribosomal RNA (324 nucleotides) under uncultured Chloroflexota bacterium. RNAcentral's name for it is "bacterial SSU rRNA". It matches the Rfam family "Bacterial small subunit ribosomal RNA", at positions 29 to 351 of the family's 1533-position model. Lineage: Bacteria; Bacillati; Chloroflexota. The record is from RNAcentral.